Molecule: ribosomal RNA, 510 nt
Filed under: uncultured bacterium
Lineage: Bacteria
Description: partial 16S ribosomal RNA
Rfam family: Bacterial small subunit ribosomal RNA
Source: RNAcentral
GACGAACGCUGGCGGCGUGCUUAACACAUGCAAGUCGAACGAAGAGCGACGGAAGCUUGCUUCUAUCAAUCUUAGUGGCGAACGGGUGAGUAACGCGUAAUCAACCUGCCCUUCAGAGGGGGACAACAGUUGGAAACGACUGCUAAUACCGCAUACGAUCUAAUCUCGGCAUCGAGGAUGGAUGAAAGGUGGCCUCUACAUGUAAGCUAUCACUGAAGGAGGGGAUUGCGUCUGAUUAGCUAGUUGGAGGGGUAACGGCCCACCAAGGCGAUGAUCAGUAGCCGGUCUGAGAGGAUGAACGGCCACAUUGGGACUGAGACACGGCCCAGACUCCUACGGGAGGCAGCAGUGGGGAAUCUUCCGCAAUGGACGAAAGUCUGACGGAGCAACGCCGCGUGAGUGAUGACGGCCGUCGGGUUGUAAAGCUCUGUUAAUCGGGACGAAAGGCCUUCUUGCGAAUAGGGAGAAGGAUUGACGGUACCGGAAGAGAAAGCCACGGCUAACUACGUG